Molecule: long non-coding RNA, 474 nt
Organism: Marmota monax (woodchuck)
Lineage: Eukaryota; Metazoa; Chordata; Mammalia; Rodentia; Sciuridae
Exons: 3
Source: RefSeq, a predicted model, not a curated record
ACCAGCUCUGGGCUCCGUGUUGCUGGCACCAGACCCUUUCUCCAUGUGUACACAAAUCCGAGUCCUGUGUCCAAACAUAGGACAGAAAUGUGAUCAGGGCUGGGUCGAGGAGGGGAUUGGACCGUCUUCGGCAUCCCAAAUCUCCAAGAUGCAAAGGUGUCUCACUCCAUCUUGGUGUCUGCUUCCUAGAGGACCUGAAGUGGCACGCUUAGCCAGGAUGUCUUAGCUCAAGCUUCUUAUCUGCCUGCAGGAUCCCAUCACUCCACUCUGCCCUCUCCCCAGGCUCUUCAAAGCAAUACUCGGCUGCACUUUCUCCCUCCGCAAAGCCAGGCGCUCUUAAAAGAAAAAAGAAAAAGAAAAGGAAAAAAAACACACACACAUUUUAAGGCAAAUUCCUCUUUAAUUUCCUAAUAAUAACAAAAGUCAUUCGAAGCCACUUAACUGUGAGAAAAUAAAUAUCUAUGCAUAUAUUCA